Molecule: long non-coding RNA, 821 nt
Organism: Amphiprion ocellaris (clown anemonefish)
Lineage: Eukaryota; Metazoa; Chordata; Actinopteri; Pomacentridae
Source: Ensembl
GGUCAAUGUGUAAGUUUAAAUCACAAUAAUAUUACAGGGGAAGACUAUUACGUUCAUUCAUUUAGGUGCAAUCCCGCGGGGGUGAAGCGCACGUGGCAGCAGCUGAAGAUGAAAUAUAAGAACAUUGUUCAAACAGGUAAGAAGUCGGCAUAAUCUCAUGGAGCUACCUCAUUUUGAUCAUGUUUUACAUUGUAAAGUAGCCUAAAUAUUAGGUGGCUGUGUGUCUGUGCAGUGGUUUUACCCCGCACAUAGCCUAAAUGUCUGCAUCCAUAUCAUGUUCUGUUAAACAAUUAAGCCUAUUUAAACUAACACAGACUUCUACUCAGCCAACAGAAAGAAAGGAGAUGCCUGUAAAAAGGGAGGUGGCCCAGCACCACCACCUCUAACGGAAGCAGAGGAGCUGGUCCUAAGCCAGAAUUUGGGAAGGCCAGUGGCUGAGGGAAUCCCUGGAGGGAGCUCAUCCUCUGAGACCACAUCCCAAGACACAAGUGCUUUUAUAAAAUAUUCUGAUGGUACUAUCUGCCUGGUGGAGCCCCUUCACACCACAACAGACCUUGUAACUGAUGAAGAGGAUGAAACUGUCUGCUGCCUUUACAGAGGGGGAUCCAGAAAGGCAUACAGAGAGCAUGGCUGGACAGCAGCAGGAUGGUCCCUCAACUUCCACUGCACAGAUUGACACAGUGAGAUGGAUGUUCAGUAAACACCAGAGGUUCAGUCCAUGGAAUUCAUGUGCAACUGUAUAAUUUAAUGUCCUUUAUGUAUUCCCAGUUACCAGUAAAACAAAUAUACAAAAUCGACUUGCUGAGAAAAAUACAAAAAAC